GUGUCAGCCGCCGCGGUAAUACCAGCUCCCCGAGUGGUCGGGACGGUUAUUGGGCCUAAAGCAUCCGUAGCCGGCCCUGUCCGUCUUCCGUUAAAUCUAACGGCCCAACCGUUAGGCUGCGGAAGAUACCACAGGGCUAGGGGGCGGGAGAGGUGGACGGUACUCCAAGGGUAGGGGUAAAAUCCUCUGAUCCUUGGAAGACCACCGGUGGCGAAGGCGGUCCACCAGAACGCGCCCGACGGUGAGGGAUGAAAGCUGGGGGAGCGAACCGGAUUAGAUACCCGGGUAGUCC
This 292-nucleotide ribosomal RNA is filed under the name uncultured prokaryote. RNAcentral describes it as "partial 16S ribosomal RNA". It matches the Rfam family "Archaeal small subunit ribosomal RNA", at positions 455 to 747 of the family's 1478-position model. The record is from RNAcentral.